AAUUCUGUCUGGACACAAAGGAAAAAUCGGAAUUGGCAGAUACUCUCUCGGUUACUCCCUGGUUGCAGUUAAUGAGCAGCCUGUUCGCCUGCAGCCUUUAGACAGGGAACAAGGGGCACAGCUUUUCCCACUUUAUUGGUUACUGACUGGGAAAGAAGGAUUCCACUAGCACUGCUUGGCUAUCAAAGCUGGGCAAUGUGAUCCUCUAAGCCACAUGUUUAGCCCCUUGACUGGGCAAACUUCAAACAAGUGACUGAGCUCCCUUAGCUGCCACUGAUUGGACCAGGAUGGACAACAAAUGUAGGAGGAGUUCAUCUGGAUCUAGCCUGAGCCAGUCAGAUAUCCCCUUUGAAUCCAUGCCUAUAGAAAUACAAAAAAAUGGAAGCCAGAGGAUGAUGGAUCCUUGAAGUAAUAAGUCAGCUCUGUGGAAGUUUGAGUGACUCAUUGCAGAGAGGAAUUGAUGAAGUCAACAGCUGCUGGAAAAACUUCUUUUUCCUUAAUAGCUGUAUCAACAUGUGGUUGCUAUUAUUCAAAGUGGAUGAAAUAAUUCUGCAAGCCAGUGGGAACAGGAAGCUUCAUGAAGAGGAGAAAGGCUUAGGGCUCAGAAACCGCACAGAGCAGGAGGAUAGAUGAAUGUAAGGAACAGAGCUUUGAGGACAGACACCCCUGGAUUAGACAAUAGCUCCAAAACUUAUUAAUGAUGGUGAAUGGGUGACUUUCUAAAACCCUUUAAACCUUAUUUGUAAAAUGGGACCAUCAAUAUCUAUUUUGAAAUCUUGUAUAAAUUUGCAAUAAUGUCUGUAAAGUAUCUGACAGGAGCUCAGAAAUGACACAAUUCUUUAAAUCCACUCACACCCAACUUUUAAACAAAAAGUAGCAGUAUAUCCUACACACGAUUUUUAAAUUUUACUAUUUAAGUUAACAUCAUGCUAUGAACAUAUUUCCAUGUCAUUAAAUAUUCUAUUCCAUCCAAUAUUUAAAAGCUAAUAGAAGUCUGUUAAAUGCAUAUGCCAUAAUUUAUUUAACCAAUUCGGUUGUUUUAAUAUUUAUGUUGUUUCCAAUAUAUUAUGCUAUUGACAAUAAAAUGAUGAACAUUUAUGAUGAUGAA
RNAcentral lists this long non-coding RNA (1108 nucleotides) under Homo sapiens (human). Its description in RNAcentral is "PREDICTED lncRNA (TCONS_00246549)". The record is from RNAcentral. Lineage: Eukaryota; Metazoa; Chordata; Mammalia; Primates; Hominidae.